RNAcentral lists this ribosomal RNA (267 nucleotides) under uncultured bacterium. RNAcentral's name for it is "partial 16S ribosomal RNA". It matches the Rfam family "Bacterial small subunit ribosomal RNA", at positions 793 to 1055 of the family's 1533-position model. The record is from RNAcentral.
GUCCACGCCGUAAACGAUGAUAACUAGUUGUUUGGGCUCACAGAGCUUGAGUGACGCAGCUAACGCAUUAAGUUAUCCGCCUGGGGAGUACGGUCGCAAGAUUAAAACUCAAAGGAAUUGACGGGGGCCUGCACAAGCGGUGGAGCAUGUGGUUUAAUUCGAAGCAACGCGCAGAACCUUACCAGCGUUUGACAUCCUUGUCGCGGAUUCCACAGAUGGUUUCCUUCAGUUCGGCUGGACAAGUGACAGGUGCUGCAUGGCUGUCGU